Molecule: ribosomal RNA, 1021 nt
Filed under: Staphylotrichum limonisporum
Lineage: Eukaryota; Fungi; Ascomycota; Sordariomycetes; Sordariales; Chaetomiaceae
Description: SSU rRNA
Rfam family: Eukaryotic small subunit ribosomal RNA
Source: RNAcentral
GCGAAACUGCGAAUGGCUCAUUAAAUCAGUUAUCGUUUAUUUGAUAGUACCUUACUACAUGGAUAACCGUGGUAAUUCUAGAGCUAAUACAUGCUGAAAAUCCCGACUUCGGAAGGGAUGUAUUUAUUAGAUUAAAAACCAAUGCCCUCCGGGGCUCUCUGGUGAUUCAUAAUAACUUCUCGAAUCGCACGGCCUUGCGCCGGCGAUGGUUCAUUCAAAUUUCUGCCCUAUCAACUUUCGACGGCUGGGUCUUGGCCAGCCGUGGUGACAACGGGUAACGGAGGGUUAGGGCUCGACCCCGGAGAAGGAGCCUGAGAAACGGCUACUACAUCCAAGGAAGGCAGCAGGCGCGCAAAUUACCCAAUCCCGACACGGGGAGGUAGUGACAAUAAAUACUGAUACAGGGCUCUUUUGGGUCUUGUAAUUGGAAUGAGUACAAUUUAAAUCCCUUAACGAGGAACAAUUGGAGGGCAAGUCUGGUGCCAGCAGCCGCGGUAAUUCCAGCUCCAAUAGCGUAUAUUAAAGUUGUUGAGGUUAAAAAGCUCGUAGUUGAACCUUGGGCCUAGCCGGCCGGUCCGCCUCACCGCGUGCACUGGCUCGGCUGGGUCUUUCCUUCUGGAGAACCGCAUGCCCUUCACUGGGUGUGCCGGGGAACCAGGACUUUUACUCUGAACAAAUUAGAUCGCUUAAAGAAGGCCUAUGCUCGAAUACAUUAGCAUGGAAUAAUAGAAUAGGACGUGUGGUUCUAUUUUGUUGGUUUCUAGGACCGCCGUAAUGAUUAAUAGGGACAGUCGGGGGCAUCAGUAUUCAAUUGUCAGAGGUGAAAUUCUUGGAUUUAUUGAAGACUAACUACUGCGAAAGCAUUUGCCAAGGAUGUUUUCAUUAAUCAGGAACGAAAGUUAGGGGAUCGAAGACGAUCAGAUACCGUCGUAGUCUUAACCAUAAACUAUGCCGAUUAGGGAUCGGACGGCGUUAUUUUUUGACCCGUUCGGCACCUUACGAUAAAUCAAAAUGUUUGGGC